UAGUUUGCUGGUGAUUUUUCCUGGAAUUUUUGAAUGCAUUUUCUAUUUGUUUGAAAAUUUUCCCUCUGUUUGACCAAUUGUUGACAUUUUGUGAGUCAUGAUAUCAUAUGUGUUGUGAAAUUCUUAUGCAUUAUUGGAUGGACUUGAAAUUUGGCAUGUGUAUUAUAGACAUCUUGAAGGUUGCCAUCACUUUGAUUGCUUUCAUUUAUCAUGUUUG
Molecule: long non-coding RNA, 217 nt
Filed under: Lathyrus oleraceus (garden pea)
Lineage: Eukaryota; Viridiplantae; Streptophyta; Magnoliopsida; Fabales; Fabaceae
Description: Pisum sativum (pea) long non-coding RNA (PSAT_LNC039924)
Source: RNAcentral